Molecule: long non-coding RNA, 581 nt
Organism: Leopardus geoffroyi (Geoffroy's cat)
Lineage: Eukaryota; Metazoa; Chordata; Mammalia; Carnivora; Felidae
Exons: 2
Source: RefSeq, a predicted model, not a curated record
UAAGGAAGGAUUUCGUAACCAUCACAACAGGCCAACAGCGGAUGCGGCUGUCUUGAUCGGUACUGAGAUGCCUGUCACCUACAGGAUUCAAAAAGAAAUGAGUGACGCAUCAGACCUGCUAGAGAAGGGAUUUUUGCAUAAAAAUAAAUUCUGUGAUUCUCCACCGUAUGCUUUGCAUUUUUACUCAUCAUUGGUAAGACCAACCCGUGAUGUGGCCUUAGGGGAGGACAUCCCUUAGAAGAGGCAAUUGUACAGCGCCUGGGGAGGCAGCCGGCCACCUAGCCUCGGUGGAAUUCCUUGGUUUUGGAAAUAGCCUGGAGAACAAAGCACCCUUAUCUCUGGAGAGGCAGCUGAGAUUCUGUGGGCUCCUGCUCCCUCGGGGCUUGGCUUGCGCCGUCGUCCAGGGGCCACCAUCUGGGCCCAGAAGCCUGAUGGGGGGGAGGGUCCACAGACUAGCUGGCCACCCAACUUGGCACAUAGGGUAUUUGGUAUCCCCUAGACAUGUUGGAUAAAGACAGGUAGCCCUCUAAGCCUCACUGUUCCCAUCUGUGAAAUGGGGAUAAUAAAAGCACUCAACGCAA